Molecule: long non-coding RNA, 671 nt
Filed under: Meleagris gallopavo (turkey)
Lineage: Eukaryota; Metazoa; Chordata; Aves; Galliformes; Phasianidae
Description: lncRNA (ENSMGAG00000022457.1)
Source: RNAcentral
UGACACUCAGUGCAAUAAGCAGGGCUUUUUUUUUUUCCUUCUUUUUCAGUUUUUGAUGCCUGUUUAUAACGUGAAACUUUUCUUGCAGCUUGUUACAGUUACCAUUUUUAAAUACUUUUUUUCCUCCUUAAAGAUAACAGAACAAAAUAUGCAGCCAAAGAAAUGAUCCUUACUUUUGCAUAUUUUGCACCUUGACUUUUUUAUUCUUUUGCUGUCAGUAUUUUAUGGUGGUUAUUAUUAUGAUGGUGAUGCUGAUAGCUGUAUGCAUAUGUACAAAUAAAUACAUUUUCAAAUGAUGGCAGUGGAAGGUUUUCCUGGAGAAUGAAGUGCGGUUCGGUUUCCUUGUCAACGGAAGAUGAAGUGAACAACUGAACAUCUCCCCAGUGCAGGCUUGCUGGACCUUCCCUCCUGCUCUGGACCUCUCCCUUGGUGCCGGCACAACUCAGAAGGAUUGCAUCAGGAAAGUAUUUUUACAGAAGUGGAGUAAUAGAAUUGACAUCUUUGAAGCUAGGAACUUCCUAAUGAAAAGUUUGAAGUCUGAAAGGAUCUAUUUCAAAUUAAAUGUUUUGGAAGGUAAGACAAAGUACGUUUCAUGAUAUUGAAUCCUACAUGUAACAUGCAAGUUUUAAUGUAAAUUACUUUAGUCUUCUGAUAUUAGACUUAUUCCAUAA